This 142-nucleotide small nucleolar RNA is filed under the name Octodon degus (degu). Its description in RNAcentral is "Small nucleolar RNA SNORA11 (ENSODEG00000022309.1)". It matches the Rfam family "Small nucleolar RNA SNORA11", at positions 19 to 129 of the family's 129-position model. From Rfam's summary of the family: U107 (SNORA11) is a member of the H/ACA class of snoRNAs that guide the sites of modification of uridines to pseudouridines. This snoRNA was identified by RT-PCR from blood cells and its expression confirmed by Northern blot analysis. The record is from Rfam by way of RNAcentral. Lineage: Eukaryota; Metazoa; Chordata; Mammalia; Rodentia; Octodontidae.
AGGGUCUGAGUUCAAUCCCUGGUUCCACCAAAAAAAAAAAAGAAUGGCUUCUCUGUUUAAAACACACCCAACAGGAAUUUAGGGUCACUGUGACAAGGGGCACAAACCUUGUGACUUCCCUGUGAGCAAAGGUCCCACACAU